This 255-nucleotide ribosomal RNA is filed under the name uncultured bacterium. Its description in RNAcentral is "partial 16S ribosomal RNA". It matches the Rfam family "Bacterial small subunit ribosomal RNA", at positions 524 to 776 of the family's 1533-position model. The record is from RNAcentral.
CACGUAGGGUGCGAGCGUUGUCCGGAAUUAUUGGGCGUAAAGAGCUCGUAGGCGGUUUGUCGCGUCUGCCGUGAAAGUCCGGGGCUCAACUCCGGAUCUGCGGUGGGUACGGGCAGACUAGAGUGAUGUAGGGGGAGACUGGAAUUCCUGGUGUAGCGGUGAAAAUGCGCAGAUAUCAGGAGGAACACCGAUGGCGAAGGCAGGUCUCUGGGCAUUAACUGACGCUGAGGAGCGAAAGCAUGGGGAGCGAACAGG